UCAAAGAUUAAGCCAUGCAUGUCUCAGUACAAGCCAAAUUAAGGUGAAACCGCGAAAGGSUCAUUAAAUCAGUUAUGGUUCCUUAGAUCGUACCCACAAUUACUUGGAUAACUGUGGUAAUUCUAGAGCUAAUACAUGCAAACAGAGCUCCGACSGGAGACGGAAGGAGUGCUUUUAUUAGAUCAAAACCAAUCGGUGGCGGCGGGUUCUCGCUCGCUCGUCAUCGUAUAACUUGGCGACUCUGAAUAACUUUAGGCUGAUCGCACGGUCAUCGCACCGGCGACGCGUCUUUCAAAUGUCUGCCUUAUCAACUGUCGAUGGUAGGUUCUGCGCCUACCAUGGUCGUAACGGGUAACGGGGAAUCAGGGUUCGAUUCCGGAGAGGGAGCSUGAGAAACGGYUACCACAUCCAAGGAAGGCAGCAGGCGCGCAAAUUACCCACUCC
Molecule: ribosomal RNA, 444 nt
Filed under: Trigonopterus insularis
Lineage: Eukaryota; Metazoa; Arthropoda; Insecta; Coleoptera; Curculionidae
Description: SSU rRNA
Source: RNAcentral